Molecule: RNA transcript, 2072 nt
Organism: Abrus precatorius (Indian licorice)
Lineage: Eukaryota; Viridiplantae; Streptophyta; Magnoliopsida; Fabales; Fabaceae
Gene name: chromophore lyase CRL, chloroplastic
Exons: 9
Source: RefSeq, a predicted model, not a curated record
GCCCAAUUUUUAUUGAUAUAUUCCUUUUUUUUUUUUGGGUACAAAUUCACAAAUGAAUUUGAUGAAGAUUCAUUUGGGCAGAAAACAUAAGGAGUGGAAUCAAAAUUAAAACCUCUUUUCUCUCUUUCUCUGGCUCUGAAUGAUGAACAAUUCAUAAACCAGUGACAAAUAAGAGAGAGGAACGAGGUGGUCUCCUUCUCCAACUCAGAGAUUGCUCCGCAACUAAGUCUGAUUCCAUGAUUGCUUAUCAUUAUUAUUAUUAUUCAUUUCCUUAAAAACACAGAAGAUGGGUACGGGUUCAGAUUCCAAUGGAUGGAACCGUGCUCGAGGGUUAGCCGUUAAGACUCUGCUACUCAUUGGUGGUGCACUUCUCGUCAAGCGACUCCGCAAGUCCACCACGCGUUGGGACCAUGCUCGCUUUGUCACCAAGUCCCUCACCGGCCAAAGGUAUUCAAAGGAGCAAGCUUCUAGAGACCCUGAUAACUAUUUUAAUAUUAGAAUGCUUACGUGUCCUGCAGCAGAGCUAGUGGAUGGUUCUAAGGUCUUGUAUUUUGAACAGGCUUUUUGGAGAAGUCCACAAAAACCCUUUCGGCAGAGGUUUCUUAUGGUGAAACCUUGUCCUAAAGAGUUGAAAUGUGAUGUUGAGUUGAGUACUUAUGCAAUUAGGGACAUGGAGGAGUACAAAAAUUUCUGUGAUCGACCGAAGGAUCAGCGUCCACAGCCAGAAGAAGUGAUUGGGGAUAUUGCAGAACAUUUAACAACAGUACAUCUUAAGCGAUGUCCACGUGGAAAACGUUGCUUAUAUGAAGGUUCAACGCCACCUGGUGGAUUUCCUAAUUCAUGGAAUGGGGCAACCUACUGUACUUCAGAACUUGCAGUUAUGAAAAACAAUGAGAUACAUACCUGGGAUAGGGGUUAUGAUGACGAUGGCAAUCAAGUCAGUUUUCUUUAUCUCGUUUUAUCUAGUUUGACUAGUUUUAUGGAUUAUGAUAGGAACAGAAUGAUGAUGUAAAAGGAGAUAAUAUUAUUGAUGAAACCAAAGAUGGUGAACCUGAGCUCUUACAAAUGAAAAACCAGAGCCAAGGCAUUAGUAUUCUCUCUCCAACAACAACCAGAUAACAAUUCCUAUCUCUCUCUUUUCUCUCCCUCCUCCUAUAAGCAUACUGUAUGGCAUAACAACUUGCCCAGCCCAGCGAAAUGUAGCGAUAACUUUCACCCCUAACACACUUCUUUUUGAUAUGCAUAGACACUUUCCAUACUUUGUGCUUCUCAUGGAUAGAGCCCACCAGCUGAUCCAUGCCUUGUACUACAUGAUCCAGAUCACAUUACCCAUGGAAAGAGCUGGUAAUAUUAGUUUGUAGGUGACACUCCCAUACGUCUCCAACACUUGGAAGAGACCAUAAUAUCUAGGGGGCAUUUUCUGACUAAUUUUGCAACAAAUUGUUGCAUAUAUGAUAGCAAUUUAAGAAAAACCCAUUUUCCCACUUCAAAUUCUUUUGUCUUCCUACUUGAACCUGCAUACUUCUUCAUUUGCUCUUGAGCCUUAGUUAAGUUAUAUUUUAGUUGCCUUCAAGCUUCAUUCCACUCCUCUAAUUUAUGAGCCACAGCUGCUACUUUAGUCUCACCUGGGAUAAAACAUACAACUGUUGGAGCCUUUCGAUCAUACACCACCUCAAAUGGAGUAGCCCUAGGAGAGGCAUGAAAAGUGGUGUUAUACCACAAUUCAACCCAAGACAACCAUUCCUACCAACUUGGGCUGCUUGGAAGCAAAACAUCGUUUGGGGACAAAAAGAAGGCCCUUACGAGUUCAAGCUUGCACCAACCUCCAGUUUUAAUGAUAUGUUUUCUCCCUUGAAUUUUCCCCCUCCACCAUCCAUGGAGAGAAGAAUAGAGGGUUCAUUCGUUUUACAAGAAUGAAAGCGUUCCAUAUAAUCGGAGUGUGUAAUUAUGUUACUGUAGCUCUGUCAAUAUGUCUUUCUCGUUAGUCAGUACUAUCUUGUCAAUAUUUUCAUUUCAGACUAGAGUUAAAAGCAAAAGUCAAAUAAAAAGCUGGCUUCUUAGAGCAUUUUUGG